Molecule: ribosomal RNA, 392 nt
Filed under: Albinaria schuchii
Lineage: Eukaryota; Metazoa; Mollusca; Gastropoda; Stylommatophora; Clausiliidae
Description: partial 16S ribosomal RNA
Source: RNAcentral
UCACUUGACUUUUAAAUGGAGCCUAGUAUGAAAGAGAGAACGUAGACAAUUUGUCUUAAUAAUAGUAUUUUGAAAUUGCUGUAGGAGUGAAAAUACUCCUAAAAUUUAAAAAUAGACGAGAAGACCCUUAGAAUUUUAAACAUAUUGCAGAAGUACUACUGUAAUUAUUUUUUGUUGGGGCAACAAUAUUUCAAAACGAAUAAAUAUACAAAAAAGUCAAAAUAGGUCGAUUAUAUAAUUAUAGUAAAAUUACCUAAGGGAUAACAGCAUAAUUUAAUAAUUAAGUUUGUGACCUCGAUGUUGGACUAGGUAUUAUUAAGGCUAAUCGUUUUAAUACAAUUUGUUCUGUUCGAACUUUGCUACCUACAUGAUCUGAGUUCAAACCGGAGCUC